This 497-nucleotide ribosomal RNA is filed under the name uncultured bacterium. Its description in RNAcentral is "partial 16S ribosomal RNA". It matches the Rfam family "Bacterial small subunit ribosomal RNA", at positions 28 to 507 of the family's 1533-position model. The record is from RNAcentral.
GAUGAACGCUGGCGGCGUGCCUAAUACAUGCCAGUCGAGCGAACAGACGAGGAGCUUGCUCCUCUGACGUUAGCGGCGGACGGGUGAGUAACACGUGGAUAACCUACCUAUAAGACUGGGAUAACUUCGGGAAACCGGAGCUAAUACCGGAUAAUAUAUUGAACCGCAUGGUUCAAUAGUGAAAGACGGUUUUGCUGUCACUUAUAGAUGGAUCCGCGCCGCAUUAGCUAGUUGGUAAGGUAACGGCUUACCAAGGCAACGAUGCGUAGCCGACCUGAGAGGGUGAUCGGCCACACUGGAACUGAGACACGGUCCAGACUCCUACGGGAGGCAGCAGUAGGGAAUCUUCCGCAAUGGGCGAAAGCUUGACGGAGCAACGCCGCGUGUGUGAUGAAGGUCUUCGGAUCGUAAAACUCUGUUAUUAGGGAAGAACAAAUGUGUAAGUAACUAUGCACGUCUUGACGGUACCUAAUCAGAAAGCCACGGCUAACUACGUG